AACGCUGGCGGCGUGGAUUAGGCAUGCAAGUCGAACGGUAGGAUACCUUCGGGUAUCUGAGAGUGGCGAACGGGUGAGUAACACGUAGGUGAUCUACCCUCAAGAUUGGGACAACCCAGGGAAACUUGGGCUAAUACCGGAUGAAAGCAGCAGUGAUGUUGUUUGAAAGGUGGCGUAAGCUGCCGUUUGGGGGAUGAGCCUGCGCUCUAUUAGUUAGUUGGCGGGGUAAAGGCCCACCAAGGCGAUGAUAGAUAGGCGGCCUUAACGGGUGGUCGCCCACACUGGGAUUGAGAUACGGCCCAGACUCCUACGGGAGGCAGCAGUCGAGAAUAGUCUACAAUGGCCGAAAGGCCGAUAGUGCGACGCCGCGUGAACGAAGAAGCCCUUCGGGGUGUAAAGUUCUUUUAUAUGUGAGCAGUGCUUUCUAUGUGAACAGCAUGGGGAGAGAGAUAUUAGCAUAUGAAUAAGCAACGGCUAACUCCGUG
RNAcentral lists this ribosomal RNA (485 nucleotides) under uncultured bacterium. Its description in RNAcentral is "bacterial SSU rRNA". It matches the Rfam family "Bacterial small subunit ribosomal RNA", at positions 32 to 507 of the family's 1533-position model. The record is from RNAcentral.